AAACGGAAGAAUGAAGGUAUAGUUUUGGGGUAUAUCCUAGUAUCCUACGCAAUAUAUCCAUUUCCCACUCUAACAAUUAUGUAACCAAACCAUCAACUACUGAGCAUACGUAUGCCUAACGAUUUCUGUGCUAUAGAUCGAUCCAUCCAUCCAUCCUAGUGGAAAACCCUGCGGUUGCUUCAUCAGUUCCUGGCCUCGUUCGUGCCACCGCUCGGGGCUGACGGCGGAGUCGGGGCCCUCGGCAGCAUGGCGAGCAGAAGCGGCGCGUACUUGCCGACGACCGCCUGGUCCUUCACCUCGCUGGACACGUCGCCGGCCGGCGGGAGCGGACGCGCGGCGGAGGCUCCUCGCAUGCUGACAAGCAGGAGAACAAGCACGAGGCAUGUGGCCACGCGGCUGCUUCGGGCGCUGGAAGAAGAAGAAGAAGCCAUUAAUUGUUUCGCCAGCGUCGGCGGGAGACGAUCGAUGGAGGGAACUUGCAGUGAGCUGACGCCUGAGCUGCUGAACAACGAGAGAUGUUUCUUGGAGAAGAAAGGGAGGGAGAUGGUCUGCUUUUUGUGUUUA
This 564-nucleotide ribosomal RNA is filed under the name Triticum aestivum (bread wheat). Its description in RNAcentral is "partial small subunit ribosomal RNA". Lineage: Eukaryota; Viridiplantae; Streptophyta; Magnoliopsida; Poales; Poaceae. The record is from RNAcentral.